AAUACCUUGGGAAGAAGGCAUACCCUAAUUCCUGGCUCCAGUCCUGUGCUAAGCCGUCUAUUGCUGGUUGAGGGAGAAGAACCUCUCUAAUUUUCUGUUGGCUCUUGAGGAAAAAAUGUCCACUGUGGGAAGACCGUACCUCUGGACUAUUUGCAAAAAAAAUUAUUUGUUUAGACGCACUGCUGCCAGAAAA
Long non-coding RNA from Bufo bufo (common toad), 193 nucleotides. RefSeq lists it as uncharacterized. The record is from RefSeq and is a predicted model, not a curated record. NCBI's taxonomy places the organism in Eukaryota, Metazoa, Chordata, Amphibia, Anura, Bufonidae. The transcript has 3 exons.